RNAcentral lists this ribosomal RNA (263 nucleotides) under uncultured bacterium. Its description in RNAcentral is "partial 16S ribosomal RNA". It matches the Rfam family "Bacterial small subunit ribosomal RNA", at positions 15 to 273 of the family's 1533-position model. The record is from RNAcentral.
GAUCCUGGCUCAGGAUGAACGCUAGCGGCAGGCUUAACACAUGCAAGUCGAGGGGCAGCGCGGGGCGGCAACGUCCUGGCGGCGACCGGCGGAAGGGUGCGUAACGCGUGAGCGACAUGCCCGUUGCCCGGGGACAACCGGUGGAAACGCCGGACUAAUCCCCGAUGGGACGGAGGCCCUCAUGGGUCUCUGUUGAAAGUUACGGCGGCGACGGAUUGGCUCGCGUCCGAUUAAGCUAGUUGGCGGGUAACGGCCCACCAAGG